Molecule: long non-coding RNA, 201 nt
Organism: Telopea speciosissima
Lineage: Eukaryota; Viridiplantae; Streptophyta; Magnoliopsida; Proteales; Proteaceae
Exons: 3
Source: RefSeq, a predicted model, not a curated record
AGGAAAUAUCACAUUCUAGUCAUCUUUUCUGAUGGGCAGAUUGCAAGGGAGAAUAAUUUACAAGAUGAAAUGCUUAGUCCACAGUAACAAGAAACUAUAGAUUGUAUAGUUGAAGCUAGCCAAUAUCCUCUCUCAAUUAUUUUGGUUGGUGUGGGCGAUGGGCGAUGGCCCAUGGGAUGCUAUGCAAAGAGUAGUUAAUAA